UACGGAGGGUGCAAGCGUUAUCCGGAUUCACUGGGUUUAAAGGGUGCGUAGGUGGGCAGGUAAGUCAGUGGUGAAAUCUCUGGGCUUAACCCGGAAACUGCCGUUGAUACUAUCUGUCUUGAAUAUAGUGGAGGUGAGCGGAAUAUGUCAUGUAGCGGUGAAAUGCUUAGAUAUGACAUAGAACACCAAUUGCGAAGGCAGCUUACUACGGAUGUAUUGACACUGAGGCACGAAAGCGUGGGGAUCAAACAGG
Molecule: ribosomal RNA, 253 nt
Filed under: uncultured bacterium
Lineage: Bacteria
Description: partial 16S ribosomal RNA
Rfam family: Bacterial small subunit ribosomal RNA
Source: RNAcentral